AAUAAUAAUAAUAAUAAUAAAUAUCUAUCUUCUCUUAAUCAAUUAUCACUAUAUAAUACUGACCAUAAAAAAAAAGUCAUAAAUAAAUUAAAGUAUUCAGUAAAAUCAAACGAAUUUACAAAAAAUGAAUUACUCGAGACGAAUCAUAGGAAGGGUAUAUAUACCCCUGGUCAUAAUAAAAAUGGAAUAAUUAAAAAACAGGAUAGUCAGGAUGAGAGUGACUAUAAGCAUGAUCAUAAGCAUAAGAAUAAACAUAAACAUAAGCAUAAACAUAUGCAUGACCACAAACGUGAGCAAAUAAAAAAUGAUAGUGUCCAUACAAAUUAUAACAAUAUUUUAGAUAUAUUUCAACAUAACUAUAUAUCACAUAAUUAUAAAGAUAAAAAUUUGAAUAGAUACAAAAAUAAACAGGAAAUUUUGAAAGAACGUAAAAAGUGCAAAAAACGUAAAGGACGUAAACAAGUAGAAGGUAAGGAUAAUAUUACACUAAACGAUUUUAAUAAUAUCAACAUAUUGAUUGAUAAAAAUGUAUGUGUGUAUAAACAAAAUUUACAACCGUUACUGCCAUUAUUUUCUAGUUUUAGUGUGGCCAAUACAAAUUUUAAACAGCUCAACACUUAUUCACAAUUCUUUAUUACAAGCAUCUUCUUUUCUUAUUUAAAAAAUAUAAAAAAAAAAAUGAACACUAAUAAAUACAUAAAUUUUGAAUUGCUAUUAUUAUAUGAUGUUGUGUAUAAAAUUGUUACAAAUCAUUAUAAAAAAAACAAUGCUACUAUGAUUGACUAUAACAUGGGUACUUAUAAUAGUUAUGUACCUCUAAAUAAUAAAAAAAAAUAUAUGAAGGAAAGGAAAACAGGUGAUGGUGGUAGUGGUCAUGAUGGUGGUAGUGGUCAUGAUGGUGGUAGUGGUCACGAUGGUGGUAGUGGUCACGAUGGUGGUUAUGUUUUGCCAUUUAAAAAAACAAAAAUAAAACAUGAUAAUGGUAAUAAUAAACAAAAUAAUAUUAUUAAUAAUUAUACAUUAAUAAACAAUGAGGAAAAGUAUCUUUUAAAAAACCAAACAAGUGGACAGUGCAUACUUGAUAAUUAUACUAAAAACGGAAGUAUGAGCAAAAAUAUGAGCCAAAGUAUGAGCAAAAAUAUGAUCAGCAAUAUAACAAAUGAAUGCAUUACAUACACAAUGCAUAAAGAAGAGUAUAACAACACAAACAAGUAUAGCCAUAACGGUUUAUUAUACAAAAAUAAUAAAAAAGAUAUACUACUAAAUAAUAAUAAUAAUAAUAAUAAUAAUUAUAAUCAUGUCAAUAUGAGUGAAAAAGAUAAACGUUUUUUAAAAAAAUUAAAAAAAUAUAUUGAAUAUUUUAAAUAUGGAAACACUAGGACUGGUCAUAAUACAAACAAAACGGACAAAAUGAGAAAAUAUUUUUUAAAUGUGUCAAGAAUAAAUAAAAUAUAUCAACAUUAUAUUCUUACAAAAGAUUUUAACAAGUUGGAUGAAAUAAUUUUAAACAGUUAUAAUACUCAUGUUACUAAAAAUGAUUAUUAUUGGCAUAGUGACAGUAAAAAUAUAACCAACAACAGUGUAGAUUAUAAUUAUUACAACAAAUAUAAAAAAAAUUUAGAUAAAAUAAAUACAUGUGUUUUAUUACGAUUUGCUCAAAAGUUACCAUGUAAACAUGAAGAAGAUAUAACACAUUUUAUUUAUAGUAAUAAAAAAAAAAAAUAUAAUGAUUAUAAAGUAAAAGAUUUAUGUAAAAUUUAUAUAAAACAUUAUGAAAAUGUUAAUAAACAAAAAGUGAAUUUUGAUAACACAUUAUUUAUCUAUUCAAAUCAAAAUAAUAUAUUAUUUAUGGAUAAUAAUGUAAAAAAUAUAUUACAUAUGUUACAAGAUCAAUAUACAAAAAAGUUAAUUCGUAAAAAAUAUAAUUUAUUAAACAGAAGUCAAUUAAAAGGAAGAUAUUGUAUUAUUAAAAAUGUUAAAAAUAUGUUACGACAUUAUCAACAGGAUCCUAAUUUGUUUUAUAUUGGUCGCGAUAUGUAUGAUUAUAGUGUACUUCUAGCACCAUCUAUUUCUGCUGCGAAUAAUAAUAUUCAUAAUAAUCUGACUAUUAAUAAUAAUAAUAAUAAUUAUUUAAGUCGUUCAUUUGGAUAUAAUAAUUAUAAUUUUAAUUUACAAGGAAGAGAAUAUUCUAAUUUUACUGAUGGAAAUUUAUAUCAUUAUCUUAAUGAACAUUCUAAUGAUACAUAUCAUGAUCGUACAUUUGUAAACAUUAUUAAUGAUAUAAAUGCUAAUCUUAGUUUUAAUCUUACUCAGACUGCUCAAACUGGUCGUAAUAAUAAUAGUAAUAUUAUUAGAAAUAAUAACAGAGAUAAUAUCCAUAAUAACAUUAAUAACAGUAAUAACAUUAAUAACAUUAAUAACAUUAAUAACAUUAAUAACAUUAAUAACAUUAAUAACAUUAAUAACAGUAAUAACAUUAAUAACACUAAUAAUAAUAAUAAUAGAAGAUUCGAUCAUUUAUUAGAUUUAUAUCCUUACGAUUUAACAUAUGAAGAUGUUACUGAUCAACAGAUAGAAAAUAUCAGUGAACAAUCUUCUCCAUCUACUAGUGAUAUCUCAGCUACAUAUUCAUAUACAGUAGUAGAUAGAGAUACGGAUGAGGAUGAUGAUGAAGAAUAUGAGUAUGAGGAAUAUGAUGAUUCGGAUGAUGAUUAUUCUGUUGAUGAUUAUUAUGAUAAUAUUUAUAAUAGCAAUAAUAUAAAUACUAGGAAUAGAUAUACUUCUAGUAAUAGUAUUAGACGCUCGAGAAAUUAUACAACUGUACCAGGAAGAAGAACAGCAAAUAGGAGAAGAAGAACAACAACAACAAAUAGAAGAAGAACAAGAACAAGAACAAAAACAAGAACAACAACAAAUAGGAGAAGAAGAACAACGGCAG
Long non-coding RNA from Piliocolobus tephrosceles (Ugandan red Colobus), 2938 nucleotides. Lineage: Eukaryota; Metazoa; Chordata; Mammalia; Primates; Cercopithecidae. The record is from Ensembl.